GCAGAUACACCAAAAUUCUAGAACUCACGAAAGUUCCUUUUCUAAUUCAGGAGAUCUGAUGCUUCAGCAGAAUUCAAUUCGGAACUCAUGAAUAAAAGUAAAAAGUGAAGCAGCAACUUUUUUUGGAAAUUUCGGCAUCGUUCCGAGUCUCAGGGCAAAAUAUGCGGAGCAGCCAGCACAAAUCCCGGACAAGAAGAGUUUGG
This is a non-coding RNA of Caenorhabditis elegans, 203 nucleotides long. The record is from Ensembl. Lineage: Eukaryota; Metazoa; Nematoda; Chromadorea; Rhabditida; Rhabditidae.